CCAAUAGCGUAUAUUAAAGUUGUUGCAGUUAAAAAGCUCGUAGUUGAAUUUCGGGGUUAGUAGGUUGGUCAUGCCUCUGGUAUGUACUGGUCUCACUGAUUCCUCCUUCCUGAUGAGCCGUAAUGCCAUUAAUUUGGUGUUGCGGGGAAUUUGGCCUGUUACUUUGAAAAAAUUAGAGUGUUUAAAGCAAGCUAACGCUUGAAUACAUUAGCAUGGAAUAAUGAAUUAGGACGUUCGAGCCUAUUUUGUUGGUUUCUAGGAUUGACGUAAUGAUUAAUAGGGAUAGUUGGGGGCAUUAGUAUUCAAUUGUCAGAGGUGAAAUUCUUGGAUUUAUUGAAGACUAACUACUGCGAAAGCAUUUGCCAAGGAUGUUUUCAUUAAUCAAGAACGAAAGUUAGGGGAUCGAAGACGAUCAGAUACCGUCGUAGUCUUAACCAUAAACUAGGCCGACUAGGGAUCGGAUGAUGUUAAUUUUUUAAUGACUCAUUCGGCGCCUUACG
Molecule: unclassified non-coding RNA, 500 nt
Filed under: uncultured Glomeromycotina
Lineage: Eukaryota; Fungi; Glomeromycota
Description: SSU rRNA
Rfam family: Eukaryotic small subunit ribosomal RNA
Source: RNAcentral